Molecule: ribosomal RNA, 465 nt
Filed under: Vreelandella stevensii
Lineage: Bacteria; Pseudomonadati; Pseudomonadota; Gammaproteobacteria; Oceanospirillales; Halomonadaceae
Description: partial 16S ribosomal RNA
Rfam family: Bacterial small subunit ribosomal RNA
Source: RNAcentral
CCUACGGGAGGCUGCAGUGGGGAAUAUUGGACAAUGGGCGAAAGCCUGAUCCAGCCAUGCCGCGUGUGUGAAGAAGGCCUUCGGGUUGUAAAGCACUUUCAGUGGGGAAGAAAGCCUUGGGGCUAAUACCCUCGAGGAAGGACAUCACCCACAGAAGAAGCACCGGCUAACUCCGUGCCAGCAGCCGCGGUAAUACGGAGGGUGCGAGCGUUAAUCGGAAUUACUGGGCGUAAAGCGCGCGUAGGCGGUCUGAUAAGCCGGUUGUGAAAGCCCCGGGCUCAACCUGGGAACGGCAUCCGGAACGGUCAGGCUAGAGUGCAGGAGAGGAAGGUAGAAUUCCCGGUGUAGCGGUGAAAUGCGUAGAGAUCGGGAGGAAUACCAGUGGCGAAGGCGGCCUUCUGGACUGACACUGACGCUGAGGUGCGAAAGCGUGGGUAGCAAACAGGAUUAGAUACCCUUGUAGUC